UACAGCGGUCCCAAGCGUUGUUCGGAUUCAUUGGGCGUAAAGGGUGCGUAGGUGGCGCUGUAAGUCGGGUGUGAAAUUUCGGAGCUUAACUCCGAAACUGCAUUCGAUACUGCGGUGCUUGAGGACUGGAGAGGAGACUGGAAUUCAUGGUGUAGCAGUGAAAUGCGUAGAGAUCAUGAGGAAGACCAGUGGCGAAGGCGGGUCUCUGGACAGUUCCUGACACUGAGGCACGAAGGCCAGGGGAGCAAACGGG
Molecule: ribosomal RNA, 253 nt
Filed under: uncultured bacterium
Lineage: Bacteria
Description: partial 16S ribosomal RNA
Rfam family: Bacterial small subunit ribosomal RNA
Source: RNAcentral